AUGUAUGUACCUAUGCAACAACCCUGCAUGAUCUGCACAUGAACCGCAGAACCUAAAGUGCAAUUUAAAAAAUCGUGUUAAUGAGGUAUUGAACUGGAGUGAAGUGUCCUGAAAUAGUUUUUCAGUAUUUACUGUAUUAUAGAGGGAGCACCAAAAAUGCGAGAGACCUGUACUAUUCAAUGAAACGUGUGGGAAAAUUAAUAUGGAUAAGGAAGUCCCUCACUUCAUAUUGUACUCCAAAACAAUUUCCAGAUGGGUCAGUCGAAUAAAAAUACCUGCAUUAUAAAAAAGAACAUGCUCUUGAAUAUUUAACUGAUUUCAGGAAAAGUAAGAGCUUUGUAAGCAUAUAAAAACUAGAAAGAAAAUCUCACAAAAAGGAGACUAUUUGAUUUGACUUACUAAAAUACUGAAAACUAUUAAUAUGUCAAAAUUUUAAAAUAAGGCAAAUAGACCAGAAAAUAUAAAUGUAAUUUAUAAUUAAUAAUUCCCUGGAAUUAUUAAUAACCUGCUAGCCCUUGCACAGAGGAGAUGUUCAAUAAGAUGCAUAUUUACGGCUACAGCCUCUGUUCAGAAAAGAAGAAAAAAAUAGGAAGCAAAUACUUUCUUUCCAGGGUAGUGAAGUAAAAACCAUCCUCCCUGAGUGGCCUUGGCUCUGUCCUGUGCCAAUCGUCUUCCUGAGGAUGGCCCUCUCACCCCUGCGCCGCCACCCCCUCACCCAGAGCCUUCCAGAACGGCGCUGAGGUCAGCAGGGAACAGCUGGGGGAGACCGUACGUGCAAUUAGUUUUGUCAGCCUGUGUUUAAUUUAAAAACAUAAUGAGCGAUUCCAUACAGUUUUAAUUUUGGUUUUUAAUUAAUAGGGCUGAAAUUGGAAAAUGGCAUUUUUGUCUUAAUAUUUUUAGCCUAUGUGACUUGCUUUUCUUCACGCUCAUUAGUGCUUCAUUUUGAACACCUUUCCAAUGUGCACAGUCAGCUGAUGACUCAGUGAUCCCCAUGGAAGCACCACAAAAGCGGGGGUUGUGGGGAGCUUCCCACCUCCCAAGGGUCACUGAGGCCACAGCAUGUGCAAUUCUGGGCAGCCUGUGGAUGUCGUUGGUGGGUAUCUAAGUACUCAGUCACAUGUCAGGCGGGUCCCCAGCAUGCCUGCCCUUUGCCCAGAGCACCCCACACUGACCCAUGCGUCUUGUACAGAGCAGGGACGAGUUCCAGAGAGAGUCUCUCUCUAACGAUGAUGUUGAGGGAUACGGAAGGUUUAGGGGCCUUAAGUUUCUCAGACUUGAAGAGUUCAAGCUUCCCUUGCACAGAUGAAGGUCAGAAUUGCCAACUUCAACACCACAAGCCACUCUGGAACUGCAUAGGGAACCCUGGCCCUCCCAUCCCACAGGUCAUCAUUGUUACCUGUGCCCCCAACUCCCUGAGCCCUGGGCUGGCCCUGCCAGGGUGUCCUGGGACAUCCUGACAUAGAAGAUGACUUUUGUCAAGUAGUCCGGCCUCAUUGUCUAAAAAAUUUUCAGUGUGUGGUUUUGAAGUGGCCUCUGACUCCCGCCCCCCAUGCUGUCCUGCCCCUGUCCUAUGUCAUCUGUGGGAUCUGCGUAAAGUGAAGUGUCCAUGAAACUCCGGAGAAGGACAAAGCAGCAGGCAGCGGAGUGACGUGGCGACCAGCUCUGCAGCUGCAAGAGUCUCUGGGGCUUGGCCUGGGAGGCCUUGUGACCUCUGCGUGCAGUGUCCAAGGCUGUUGGGUGUCACACGCAUAGUCACGGACACACCCUGGCUCAGCAGGGCUGACCCUGCUUCCUCACCGAGGCCAUCAACACAAAUCACGCCAAAAUUCCGCCCCUGCUUCAGAACAAUGAAUUCCUCCCCACUGGCCUUGCUGCAGAAACGCAUAUGCAGUUUGAGUUUUCUGUCUUAAGGCCUUUCAUAGGCAUUCGUGCAACUUCCGGCCUCAGAAGCAGAACUCGCCCUGCUCUCAAGUGAGCAAAACCUGCCUGCACCUCUGAGGCGAAUUCGCACCAGGGCUCAGCCUCCGCCCAUUCUUCUCCUCCGACCUCCGACACGCUCUCCUUAGAAACCACACGGCCCAGAUAUUUGGCUCCUGUCUUUUUAAUCAUCUGUCCAGUGCUCUGCAGAGCCUUCCUACAAACCCCUGAAUCAAUCAUCAUCAUAACCGCCCACGAGCACCUCCUCUUGUGAUUCCCAUGAGGGAUUCGUGUCGUUAGUUUCAGGCAAUGCGAGCGUAUUCCUCCUUUUCUACAACCAAGGAAUGUUGUUAUAUUUGAUCCUCAUCUGUACUAUCUUUUGGUGAAUUUACUUUCAUUACUGUUAUUGAAAAGAAGACACUUUUCUCUCCUCGUGUCUGCUUAAAGCCUCCCUCGUGUUUUUUAGGCGAUGGUCAGUAGCAGGACGAUGGUCACCUGACACUGAUUUACUUGGCUCGACGACUCUCGUACCCUUCUAUGACUUGGCUUGUGAUUCUGCGAGUUUCCAAACAGAAAGCUAUGCCCUUGCCUGGGCAGGGGUUUCCUAGCCCACGAUGAAGGUCUCCUUUUCCUUAUGUGGCUCCUGAGACCUGGGGCCAGGAGUGACUGGUGCCCCGCAGCUCCAGCCCUGCUCCCCCUUCCCCAUCUCUGCCUUGGUGGGGUCUUCCAGUCUCCUAGGUGAGGAAGCAGCUGGGGGAGUUCAAGGUCUCAACCAGCGAGCCAGAGACUCAGAUUCUGGGCUUGGGGCCCUGAGGACAGAGCGACCACCCUGCACCCUUUCUCUGAGUCAGAGAGAGUCUCACUAAGCCCCAGUGCCGCAAGAACAGCUCUGCUGAUUGAGGGCCGCCUGUUUGCCAGGGCUUUCACAAGCUCCGGUGAAUCUGGUCAAAAGCCCUGGGAGGCGAUGGCACCUCUCUGAGCCAGGGGCCGGGGAUGGGGGCCCUUCCUGGCCUGCCCUUCCGCAUGGGGAAUUCUGGCCCAUGGAUGCAGAGAGGCAGUCUCCACAGCAGGUGAACUGCGCAGUGCGGCAAUUCCUUCAGUUGCCUGUGUGGAUGAAUACGACCUCGGCUGGGAGCUCCUGAAAAUCGGGGAGCAGCUUCAUAUGGUCUUUCUAUCCCUGUUUCCAUCCCAGAGCCCAGGGCUGGAGGUAGAGGCAGAGUCGUAUGAGCACUUGCUGGGCCGCUCCAUUCCAAUCGCUGCCCGCCUGCUGAGGGCCUCCCACCUGCAGAGGCCCCACUGGAGGGGAAUGACCGUGUCUCAUUCAGGAGGCACGGACCCGUGGGAGAUGCCCCUGUGACCAAGCCACACCACUCAGGCAGGGCAGGGGAGGCGACUGGGGUAACCGAGCUCCGCCCCCGCUCAACCCUUCACAGGGAAGACGCCUUUGGGUUGAACCGAACAGCAUUUCCCAGACCAUCAUCCUGCCCACUUCCUCUUUCUACCCCCUUCACCUUCUUCACUGCCUCUUCCCUCCCUCCCUUCCACCUUCUCCCAGGAGUUGCUAACACCAGACCCCUCUGUAAAUGAUGUCCUUGUUUCCUUUGUGACUUUAUCCAUGUAGCAUUUUCUUAGCAAUGAGCUGUGUUUCACCUGUUUUUGAUGCGUGUGUAAACAAGCUGUCCAUGAGCUUCCACCACAUCCCUCUUCCUUUGCUCCUGGUUCUCGGUGUGCGCUUCCCAUGUUUAGAGGUGUGUGCUAUGCACACUCCGGCGCCUGUGCUCGCUGCUGUGGAGUGUCCUGCCACGUGCAUCUGCUGCAGGGUGCACGGUCCUUCCACCAUUGCUGGAGAUUGUGGUGACGUCGGGUGUGUGGCUGUUCUGCAAAGGCAGCCGCAGCUAUUCCUGGGCGCGUCUCCGGGCACACCUACCGGUGCUCUGCCCACGUGGUCCUGAGGUGUAGUUGCUGAGGCGUGGGGCCUGCACCUCUUCAACCUGAUGAGAUUGCCAUUUUCUAAAGCGGGGGCACCCUUUCACGUGCUCACCAGCUCCACAUGGGAGUCCUGGCGGCUUCAUGUGUUUCCAACCUUUGACAGUCAGCAGGAUCUCACUAGCUACCAGAUAUUUUGAAUUGUUGCAAGAAACACAUGUUUGUCUUGGUUCUUAUGGAGAGUUUUAAUUUUUUAUUUGGUACCUUCUAUGAAGCUAGGACCUUUCCUGCCUGGCCUUUAGUCACCCACCCUGCUCUGCCUCAGAUCUGCCAGCUAGGCAUGCAGCCCCCAGCCAAGGCUGUGGGAGAAUCCUCUGCAGGCCAGCCCAAGUUGGCAGGGCAGCAACUAGGGAUGGACAUGGGCACCGGGAGUCCACUCUGUUUGUUUCCUGACCUGUUUGUACCACUUUGCACACAUGGCAUCAUUCACCACAUUUCACUGACUCCGGGUACAAAUAUGUGUCUGCACGUUGUCACUGCCGUCAGUGUGGGCAGUGCGGGGAUGCUUGUCAUGUGUCCUUGGCAAGACGUUUCCUUUCUGCAGAGCAUGGAAACUCCUGAUGCAUCUCAUAGUCAGCUUUACCCUAGAUUCACUGAGGUAUGAUCGUUAAUUACUAUGAUCUGAUGAACUUUGAAUAAUAAAAAGAGAAAUUUCUGUGGAAGGUAAAUUAGAUAGUUUGGAAAUAUGCAAUAUAUACAAACAAAAAUGAGAAGUUCUGUUGAAAAGGAUUGGGUGACACAGUUGUCAGGUUUGGGGUUGGGGUGGGCUGUCAGGGUCUACAGGGAUUCUGCCAUCCAGUUGCUGUGCAAAAUUCAUUAGAUUCUUCCCCUGCCCUCUACCUUGAAAAUGGACACCUGGUAAUUUUUUUUACAUUUUUUUAUAAGUGCUAAAGCCAUUGGGGGAAAGGUUGAGGAGCUACUGCCCCACAUCCUGCUUCCGAGUUACGGUGGGAAAGGUUAUCUUCACAAAAGGAAGCCUGGCAGGCAGAAGCAGGUGUCUCCUGAUGUGACAUGCAAUGGCUAAAAAUAUUUCACCCUCAUCUAGUUAUGAAGAAACCACAAAAUCAGUCCAGACUAUGAAACAUUCCACAAUGCAGCUGCCCUGAAUGCUUUGGUGACAAAGGUAAAUGUCUCAACACCAACAAAACAUGGACGCUGCUUUAUUCAAGAAUACUGUUGCAACUUGACAACUAAGUGAAAAACUUGAUUUGUGAUGGGAUUGUGCAGAACAAGUCAUUUUAAGGAUAUUUGGGGGAAGCUGGGAAAUUGAAUGUGUGCGGAAUGUUAGGUGUGUAAAUAGUGUUGUGGUUGUGUAGGAGCUCGCCUCAGGUGGAUGCACACUGAAACGUUUUGGGUGAAGUGUCUGCUAGGAUUAACCCACCUGGCAGUGGGGCCCGUGCCCUUUCAGGCUCAAUGCAGCCAUUCGAGGGUGCUUAUUUCACAUUCAAUACUAGAUGUAAAGCGUUGUGAUAACUUUUAUUGUAGUUCUGUAAUGUUACCUGCAGAAAAAUAUCUAAUGUUCAAGAGAGCCAAAUGCAGCCGUGGGUAGGUUGUUCUCUAUCUUUAAUUCUAAACCUUUUCUUUCCAAUGGUUCUGAGGCAAACAUUCGUUAGAGGAUUUGAGAAUCUUUCACCCUGAAGUAUAGGCAAGUGUUUUUGAAAACUUGACCAAUAUCAUGGAAGAAUAGUUCAGUUUAGAUCAGAAUGCAGUGUGCUAUCACAUCUUGUUAUUCUUCCCUAGUUUCACAGUUGAGAAAUGAUUUUUCUUUGGGGAGUUCUGCUCAGUAUCACAGUGAGAGGUGGAAAGAAGCCUGUUUAGACAGAUUAAGAAUAUUCAUGAUUUUUGCACAGCCUUCUAAAAUCCACAAUUAUAAGCAUUUGAAAAUAUGUUUAAAUAAAACAUAAGUAUUAAUGAACAUGUUUUAUUUGCAUUUUGUGAAACCAGUUCUUCCUCUAGACGUUCUUUUCUGUUCUCCAAUGUUUCUCUUAUGUGUGGUACUUCACUUACUGCUGUUCUUUCACCAGGUGGCCCCUACCUGGAGUUCAUGUGCCGCUGAGAUGGGAUUUCUAGUAGCAUUCCUUUCUCUCUUCCAUCCAUUCAGUGGAUGAGAUAAACUGAGAGUCACAGAUAGAAUGCUAUUUGCUAUUUUUAUCAAGUGAUCAAAAUAUGUGCAGGGCUUGGACUGCUAUAUUUCUGGUUAUUAGUAAGAAAGCCAGGGAGACAUCUGUACUUUUCUGGGAAGAGAAGGUGAUUGAUGCCAGCACUGAGCAGCCUCUCUAAAUGGCUGAUUGUGAUACCGAUUCCAUCUUCUUGUGUCUGAUUCGGUAACUGUGUUGGCCCAGCUAGACUGGACCUAAAUCUCAGGGAUGAGUUAAGUCAAUGAGAAUUAUUUACCUUCUUAAAAAA
Molecule: long non-coding RNA, 6309 nt
Organism: Sapajus apella (tufted capuchin)
Lineage: Eukaryota; Metazoa; Chordata; Mammalia; Primates; Cebidae
Exons: 2
Source: RefSeq, a predicted model, not a curated record